GCCAGUGUUACAUUAAAAGAAUGAAUACCAAUUCUGUCAGAGUUAAGGCAUGUGAGCUUUGGAAAGGAAUAGGGACAGAGUUUGCUUCCAAGACAUACAAGUUCUGCUAACAAAAUUGGUCCUGUUGAUAGCAGUUUAUUUUUGGUGGGGGGGGGGGGGGGGGGGGGGAGGGAUGGGACAGCCUUGUCACCACCAGGCCACCUCAGGAGACUCCACCAUCCAGCAGUCAGCACCAGAUCUGCUGACUGCUGAUUUAGCUUCACCAGAUUACCUCCAGUUCUUUUCAGCGACCCUUUGGCAUCAGGUAGGUCCAUUCUCUGCAUUAAUCUUCAAAGUGGCAUCUCUCCCUCUUCUGUUGGGGGCCUUUCCUACACUCAAUGCCUCCCUUCUUUUUGCCAGCACUUCAGCAACAAACCAGACUCCUUUCCCUUUCUGAUGGCAGACAGUAAGGCCCUCCUCACUUCAACACACCAACCUCAACAUGAAUCACACUGUGCCCUUGGGAGGCCAGAAGACCCUUACUCAUGGGUCCCAACUACCUGGCAGACAAAUGGGGGUAAUGCCUCCAGAACUAUCUCACUGUCCUAGGGCCUUAGAAAUGCAGAUUAGCAAAAUGGAUCCAUACCCCUAGGGAGAGAGGUAUGGCUGAAUUUGCCCCUUGAAACCCAGAAGACAGAGGUAAGGGACAAGAGUCCUGGGACAAGGUCGGAUUUGCUUAAACUUCAAGAAUAUGGAGUUCCUCCUACCUAUCUUUUCACCCAGAUUAUCAACAAAGGAUUUAAAAUUAAAAGAGUUCAUUCUCGGGAGAGAAGGGGGACCCUGUAUUUGAGAGGAGAAAAGUGGAGUGGAAGAUAAUUAAUUAAAAGACAAGAUGACAGAUCUCCCCUAAAUUUAUAAAUUCAAUGCUAUACCAAUCAAAAUAUCAAGAGGAUUUUUUAUUAUUUUGUCAAAAUGAUACCAGAGCUCAUCAAGACAAAUAAACUUGAGAAUUACCAGGAAAAUUCUAGGGGGAAAAAACUAAAGAAGUACCCUCAGUCCCUCUUUAGUUUUCAGAUAGUCAAUAUAAAGCUAAAUAAUGAAGCUUGGUGCUAACGGGGAGGAUUAGUUAAGAUGAUGAUACAUUUAAGGGGCAUAUAAUUUUACUUGGCACAUUGAAGCACUCUAAAAAAUUAGCCAUUAUUACUUUUAUAUUAUAACAAUUUGAAAACUGUGUAAAAAUGGAUUAUUCAAUAAAUGAUACUGAUCUAGCUGGCUAGCCAUUUGAGAAAAAAAUUAAGUGAAUCCCCACCACACUCUAUACCCCAAAAUAUAAAUUCCAGAUGAAUGCAAAAUUUAAACGUAAGUAAUGAAACCAUAAAAGAACUAAAUGACAAGAAAAAUGAGCUGUUUUUCCAAUCCUGGAGUAAGGCCUUUCUCAGGAUCCCUGUUAGCCUUUAUAUAUAUAAUACCUUAGUGCAAAUUAGAAAAUGAAGGUCCUUCUCCAGGACUCUUUCCAUCUGUCAGAAUACUUUCAUAAUUUACUGAUUUUGUUGGAAUAAAACAUUUUACUGGGGCCAGCCUGGUGGUGCAGCGGUUAAGUGCGCCCAUUCCACUUUGGUGGCCCGGGGUUCGCUGGUUCGGAUCCUGGGUGCGGACAUGGCACCACUCGGCAAGCCAUGCUGUGGCAGGUGCCCCACAUAUAAAGUAGAGGAAGAUUGGCAGCAGAUUUUAGCUCAGGGCUAAUCUUUCUCAAAUAAAUAAAUAAAUAAAUAAAAUAAAAACAUUUUACUGCAAUUCACUAUAUAUAAAUCUAUGAUAUCUAUGAUUUGAAUAGAAGCUCCUAGGGUAGUUGGUGUACAACUGACCUGACUUUUCUAAAAAUUAUUUAAUUAAAAAAAAAGAGCUGGGGCCGGCCCGAUGGCCAAGUGGUUAAGUUUGCACACUCUGCUUUGGUGGCCCAGGGUUUCGCUGGUUUGGAUCCUGGGCGUAGACAUGGCACUGCUCAUCAAGCCACAGAGAGGUGGCAUCCUACAUGCCACAACUAGAAGGACCUACAACUAAAAUGCACAACUAUGUACUGGGUGGAUUUGGGGAGAAAAAGCAGAAAAAAAAAAGAAGAUUGGCAGGAGUUGUUAGCUCAGGUGCCAAUCUAAAAAAAAAAGACUUACCAAAUAAAAAUCUUCUGUACAUGAAAAAUCAUAUACUGAGGUGCUCUUUGAUACAAUUAUUCUCGGAAUUCAUCCUAAGGCCAUUAUGAGACCAAUGCACAGGCACCCUCAGGUGCUCAGAUAAGAGAACAAAUUUACAACCCUUCUAGAAAGGAAUUGGGUAACACAUAAAGAUCCUUAAAAAAGUUUAUUUCUUGGGGCCGACUCUGUGGCCAAGUGGUUAAGCUCACACGUUCCACUUGGGUGGCCCAGGGGUUCAACGGUUCACUGGGUAUGGACCUAGCACCACUCAUCAAGGCAUGCUGAGGUGGCCACCUACACAGAAGAAGGUACAUCUAGGAUAUACAACUGUGUACUGGGGGGCUUUGGGGAGAAAAAAAAAAAAGAGGAAGAUUGGCAACAGAUGUUAGCUCAGGACCAGUCUUCCUCACCAAAAAGGUGCUUAAAAAAAAAAGAAAAAGUUUAUUUCUUUAGACAGAGGGAUUCUCUUGUAUAAUUCUAUCCUAAGAAAAUAUGCAGAAACUCUGAAAAUGAUUUAUAUACAAAGACCCCCACAGCAUCAUCCUUUAUCAUAAUAUUAUAGAGCACUUACUAUAUGCCAAGCAGAGAGAAGUACUAGACAUAUAUUGAUUCAUUUACUCUUCACAAACAUCUUUUCAGAUAGGUACAAUCAAUAUUCUCAUUUUACAAAUGAGAAAAUCAAACUAACCGUUAACUAAUUCCUCCAAGGUCAACAGCUGGAAAAACAGUUGGUAAAGCAAGAAUCAAAUCUAGUCUGGCAUGGGAGGCUGUGAUCUUAACCACUAUGCUAUACUGCCUGGAAACUACAUAUGUGUCCACAAACCAUGUUUUCUAAAAAUAUUUGAUGAGGGGCCGGCCCAGUGGCACAGCAGUUAACUGCGCAUGUUCCACUUCGGCGGCCCAGGGUUCGCCAGUUUGGAUCCUGGGUGUGGACAUGGCACUGCUUGGCAAGCCACGCCGUGGUAGGAGUCACACAUAGAAAGUAGAGGAAGAUGGGCACGGAUGUUAGCUCAGGGCCAGUCUUCCUCAGCAAAAAAGAGAAGGAUUGGUGGCAGAUGUUAGCUCAGGGCUAAUCUUCCUCAAAAAAAAAAAAAAGCAGAAUAUAAAGUUACAUGCAAAGUAUGAUGCCAGUUCUAUAAAAGAAAAAUGAAGACAUGAUAGAACUAUUAAAAAUGCUCAUGUCUUGGUGGUAGAUUAUGGGUGAUUUAAGGCUAAG
RNAcentral lists this long non-coding RNA (3384 nucleotides) under Equus caballus (horse). RNAcentral describes it as "lncRNA (ENSECAG00000050474.1)". The record is from RNAcentral. Lineage: Eukaryota; Metazoa; Chordata; Mammalia; Perissodactyla; Equidae.